GUGCUCACUUCGAAAGCACAUAUACUAAAAUUGGAAUGACACAAGAUUAGCAUGGCUCCUGUUCAAGAAUGACACAGAUAUUCAUGAAGUGUUCCAAUUAAAA
This 103-nucleotide small nuclear RNA is filed under the name Nannospalax galili (Upper Galilee mountains blind mole rat). The record is from RNAcentral. Lineage: Eukaryota; Metazoa; Chordata; Mammalia; Rodentia; Spalacidae.